AACCUCUUUUCUCAGGGAAGAAGAUCUGACGGUACCUGAGGAAUAAGCAUCGGCUAACUCCGUGCCAGCAGCCGCGGUAAUACGGAGGAUGCAAGCGUUAUCCGGAAUUAUUGGGCGUAAAGAGUCCGUAGGUGGCUAAUCAAGUCUGUUGUCAAAGACCGCAGCUUAACUGCGGAAAGGCAAUGGAAACUGAUGAGCUAGAGUAUGGUAGGGGUAGAGGGAAUUCCCAGUGUAGCGGUGAAAUGCGUAGUUUUUCUAAGAACACCGGUGGCGAAAGCGCUCUACUGGACCAAAACUGACACUGA
RNAcentral lists this ribosomal RNA (305 nucleotides) under Synechococcus sp. KUAC 3078. RNAcentral's name for it is "bacterial SSU rRNA". It matches the Rfam family "Bacterial small subunit ribosomal RNA", at positions 428 to 749 of the family's 1533-position model. The record is from RNAcentral. Lineage: Bacteria; Bacillati; Cyanobacteriota; Cyanophyceae; Synechococcales; Synechococcaceae.